Molecule: long non-coding RNA, 219 nt
Organism: Sinocyclocheilus rhinocerous
Lineage: Eukaryota; Metazoa; Chordata; Actinopteri; Cypriniformes; Cyprinidae
Exons: 3
Source: RefSeq, a predicted model, not a curated record
UUCAAAAUAUGAGGACGAUGGUAUUUAUGAAGUUCCUGAUGUGUUCCCAGAACACAGUGUAGAUGCCAAAGAGCAGCAGUUUCUUGAAAGAAAUGUGUUGGAAGAAGUGCUGGAAGUGGAUGAUACUCAUUCAGAAGAAGAUGAAGACAGCUCAGAAGAUGAGGAUAACAGUGUCAAUAGAGAAAAACAGACUGAAACGAAGAAGACCAAGGCUGCGCA